This 274-nucleotide small RNA is filed under the name Pseudomonas sp. SJZ074. RNAcentral describes it as "Pseudomonas sRNA P24". It matches the Rfam family "Pseudomonas sRNA P24". From Rfam's summary of the family: P24 is conserved across several Pseudomonas species and in Azotobacter vinelandii. It appears to be consistently located between a hypothetical protein gene and a transcriptional regulator gene (AsnC family) in the genomes of all these species. P24 has a predicted Rho independent terminator at the 3' end but the function of P24 is unknown. The record is from RNAcentral. RNAcentral also lists the same sequence under 5 other names. Lineage: Bacteria; Pseudomonadati; Pseudomonadota; Gammaproteobacteria; Pseudomonadales; Pseudomonadaceae.
UUGCGCAAGCGAUGUUUAAUCGAGCAAUCUUCGCAAUCAUUGGUCGCCGCCCAGAGCCUAUUCUUAUCACCAAGAUCACUGCUCGGACAGACAGUCCAAUGCAGCCCGCCCAAGCAGGCCGGCUGCGGUCGCGGCACCCACCGGUGCCUGGUAGCCAGACAGGCCACCCAUGACCCCCGAGCUGCACACUGUCCAGAAGACGGCGUGAGGUGAGCCGACGUCAUAAGCGUCGAGCACGGACGAAAUUCUCAAGGGGAGGCCGACGGGUCUCCCU